AAUAGCUCAGUUGGUAGAGCGUCCGGCUGUUAACCGGCAGGUCGCAGGUUCAAGUCCUGCUU
RNAcentral lists this transfer RNA (62 nucleotides) under bovine gut metagenome. It matches the Rfam family "tRNA", at positions 6 to 65 of the family's 71-position model. From Rfam's summary of the family: Transfer RNA (tRNA) molecules are approximately 80 nucleotides in length. The record is from RNAcentral.